Molecule: ribosomal RNA, 496 nt
Filed under: uncultured bacterium
Lineage: Bacteria
Description: partial 16S ribosomal RNA
Rfam family: Bacterial small subunit ribosomal RNA
Source: RNAcentral
GAUGAACGCUGGCGGCGUGCCUAAUACAUGCAAGUCGAGCGAACGGACGAGAAGCUUGCUUCUCUGAUGUUAGCGGCGGACGGGUGAGUAACACGUGGAUAACCUACCUAUAAGACUGGGAUAACUUCGGGAAACCGGAGCUAUACCGGAUAAUAUUUUGAACCGCAUGGUUCAAAAGUGAAAGACGGUCUUGCUGUCACUUAUAGAUGGAUCCGCGCUGCAUUAGCUAGUUGGUAAGGUAACGGCUUACCAAGGCAACGAUGCAUAGCCGACCUGAGAGGGUGAUCGGCCACACUGGAACUGAGACACGGUCCAGACUCCUACGGGAGGCAGCAGUAGGGAAUUUUCCGCAAUGGGCGAAAGCCUGACGGAGCAACGCCGCGUGAGUGAUGAAGGUCUUCGGAUCGUAAAACUCUGUUAUUAGGGAAGAACAUAUGUGUAAGUAACUGUGCACAUCUUGACGGUACCUAAUCAGAAAGCCACGGCUAACUACGUG